GAUGCUUUUGCUUCUCCCGUUGUAAAAAGGGCGAGGUGUCUCUCCCCUCAUCUCGAUGUUUCGUUGUGUACAUUACCUUUGUAUUAACUUAUCAGUGUCGCAACUGAACUACUGAAAAAGCCCAUUGCCCUGUACAUAUCUGCAGAACCAGAAUCAAAUAGAGAAGUUUUGAAGUGAGAUAAAUCAAGGGAUAGUGUUCCUCAUGC
Molecule: small RNA, 206 nt
Filed under: Oryza sativa Japonica Group (Japanese rice)
Lineage: Eukaryota; Viridiplantae; Streptophyta; Magnoliopsida; Poales; Poaceae
Description: sRNA Os03g0187200
Source: RNAcentral